This 332-nucleotide ribosomal RNA is filed under the name Anostostoma sp. OZ100. RNAcentral describes it as "eukaryotic LSU rRNA". It matches the Rfam family "Eukaryotic large subunit ribosomal RNA", at positions 657 to 956 of the family's 3401-position model. Lineage: Eukaryota; Metazoa; Arthropoda; Insecta; Orthoptera; Anostostomatidae. The record is from RNAcentral.
AAACACGGACCAAGGAGUCUAACAUGUGCGCGAGUCAUUGGGCUGUAAAACCCAGAGGCGCAAUGAAAGUGAAGGUCUCGCCUUGCGCGGACCGAGGGAAGAUGGAGCGCGCGUCAGCGUGUCUUCCGCAUUCCCGGGGCGUCUCGUUCUCAUUGCGAGUUGAGGCGCACCCAGAGCGUACACGUUGGGACCCGAAAGAUGGUGAACUAUGCCUGGCCAGGACGAAGUCAGGGGAAACCCUGAUGGAGGUCCGUAGCGAUUCUGACGUGCAAAUCGAUCGUCGGAGCUGGGUAUAGGGGCGAAAGACUAAUCGAACCAUCUAGUAGCUGGUU